GACGAACGCUGGCGGCGUGCUUAACACAUGCAAGUCGAACGGGAACCUUUAUUUCGGUAAAGGUGAGAGUGGCAAACGGGUGAGUAACACGUAGGCAACCUGCCGACAGGAUGGGGACAACAUUCCGAAAGGAAUGCUAAUACCGAAUGGAGUCCGGGGAUGGCAUCAUCCUCGGAUAAAAGAUGGCCUCUGAAUAUGCUAUCGCCUGUCGAUGGGCCUGCGUCUGAUUAGCCAGUUGGCGGGGUAACGGCCCACCAAAGCGACGAUCAGUAGCCGGUCUGAGAGGAUGAACGGCCACAUUGGGACUGAGACACGGCCCAGACUCCUACGGGAGGCAGCAGUGGGGAAUCUUUCCACAAUGGGCGAAAGCCCUGAUGGAGCAAACGCCGCGUGAGUGAAGAAAGGUCUUUCGGAUUCGUAAAGCUUCUGUUGCCACGGG
This 439-nucleotide ribosomal RNA is filed under the name Selenomonas sputigena. RNAcentral's name for it is "bacterial SSU rRNA". It matches the Rfam family "Bacterial small subunit ribosomal RNA", at positions 28 to 445 of the family's 1533-position model. Lineage: Bacteria; Bacillati; Bacillota; Negativicutes; Selenomonadales; Selenomonadaceae. The record is from RNAcentral.